GAUGAACGCUGGCGGCGUGCCUAAUACAUGCAAGUCGAGCGAACGGACGAGAAGCUUGCUUCUCUGAUGUUAGCGGCGGACGGGUGAGUAACACGUGGAUAACCUACCUAUAAGACUGGGAUAACUUCGGGAAACCGGAGCUAAUACCGGAUAAUAUUUUGAACCGCAUGGUUCAAAAGUGAAAGACGGUCUUGCUGUCACGUAUAGAUGGAUCCGCGCUGCAUGAGCUAGUUGGUAAUGUAAAGGCUUACCAAGGCAACGAUGCAUAGCCGAGCUGCGAGGGGGAUCGCCCACCCUGGAACUUGGACACGGUCCAGACUCCUACGGGAGGCAGCAGUAGGGAAUCUUCCGCAAUAGGCGAAAGCCUGACAGAGCAACGCCACGUGAGUGAUGAAAGUCUUCGGAUCGUAAAACUCUGUUAUUAGGGAAGAACAUAUGUGUAAGUAACUGUGCACAUCUUGACGGUACCUAAUCAGAAAGCCACGGCUAACUACGUG
Molecule: ribosomal RNA, 497 nt
Filed under: uncultured bacterium
Lineage: Bacteria
Description: partial 16S ribosomal RNA
Rfam family: Bacterial small subunit ribosomal RNA
Source: RNAcentral